CCUACGGGAGGCAGCAGUGGGGAAUUUUGCACAAUGGGGGAAACCCUGAUGCAGCGACGCCGCGUGAGUGAAGAAGUAUCUCGGUACGUAAAGCUCUAUCAGCAGGGAAGAAAAUGACGGUACCUGACUAAGAAGCCCCGGCUAACUACGUGCCAGCAGCCGCGGUAAUACGUAGGGGGCAAGCGUUAUCCGGAUUUACUGGGUGUAAAGGGAGCGUAGACGGCAGCACAAGUCUGGAGUGAAAUCCCGGGGCUUAAACACGGAACUGCAUUGGAAACUGUACGGCUGGAGUGCAGGAGGGGUAAGCGGAAUUCCUGGUGUAGCGGUGAAAUGCGUAGAUAUAAGGAGGAACACCGGUGGCGAAGGCGGCUUACUGGACUGUAACUGACGUUGAGGCUCGAAAGCGUGGGGAGCAAACAGGAUUAGAUACCCCUGUAGUC
RNAcentral lists this ribosomal RNA (440 nucleotides) under uncultured bacterium. RNAcentral's name for it is "partial 16S ribosomal RNA". It matches the Rfam family "Bacterial small subunit ribosomal RNA", at positions 338 to 795 of the family's 1533-position model. The record is from RNAcentral.